GUGGGGAAUCUUCCGCAAUGGACGAAAGUCUGACGGAGCAACGCCGCGUGAGUGAAGAAGGUUUUCGGAUCGUAAAGCUCUUUCGUUAGGGACGAACGUGCUCUUUGUGAAUAAUGAGGAGUAAUGACGGUACCUAAAUAAGAAGCCACGGCUAACUACGUGCCAGCAGCCGCGGUAAUACGUAGGUGGCAAGCGUUGUCCGGAAUGAUUGGGCGUAAAGCGCGCGCAGGCGGGAUAUCAAGUCUGUCUUAAAAGUGCGAGGCUCAACCUCGUGAGGGGACAGAAACUGGUAUUCUUGAGUGUCGGAGAGGAAAGUGGAAGUCCAAGUGUAGCGGUGAAAUGCGUAGAGAUUUGGAAGAACACCAGUGGCGAAGGCGACUUUCUGGACGAUGUCUGACGCUGAGGCGCGAAAGCUAGGGGAGCGAACGGGAUUAGAAACCCGGUAGUCC
RNAcentral lists this ribosomal RNA (449 nucleotides) under uncultured bacterium. RNAcentral describes it as "partial 16S ribosomal RNA". It matches the Rfam family "Bacterial small subunit ribosomal RNA", at positions 354 to 796 of the family's 1533-position model. The record is from RNAcentral.